UUUUAGGCUUUGAAGAGAAAUAGUAGAUAAACAAUUGUUUCCAGAGAGCUAACGUAUGGUGCAAGUUAGCAACAAUUUUAGUCGAACUCAUCUCUGAGUCGUUAAGGUGAAGGAUAGUAGUCUUAACCGGAUAGAUCCGUUAAACUUGUUAAGUGGGUAGAGUUUUCUACCAAAUAGAGUGGUACCGCGAUAAUAAAACCUUCGUCUCUAUA
RNAcentral lists this non-coding RNA (212 nucleotides) under Gottschalkia purinilytica. Its description in RNAcentral is "Clostridium purinilyticum T-box sequence". It matches the Rfam family "T-box leader". Rfam says of the family: Uncharged tRNA acts as the effector for transcription antitermination of genes in the T-box leader family. T-boxes are found upstream of many aminoacyl-tRNA synthetase genes and some amino acid biosynthetic genes usually in Gram-positive bacteria. The record is from RNAcentral. Lineage: Bacteria; Bacillati; Bacillota; Tissierellia; Tissierellales; Gottschalkiaceae.